Mustela erminea (ermine) is the source of this 2308-nucleotide long non-coding RNA. RefSeq lists it as uncharacterized. Lineage: Eukaryota; Metazoa; Chordata; Mammalia; Carnivora; Mustelidae. The record is from RefSeq and is a predicted model, not a curated record. The transcript has 3 exons.
AGAGUGUUCCACCAAAGCUUGGCAAGCGCUUCAGUAUUGUCACCAUCCUCCUGGGAGAUCACCCAUGAAUCUCGAACGUGAUAGCUACCAGAAAUGUGGGUGGGCAAAGUCAGCAAGUGAUAACACUGCCUUUCUGUGUAUGAGGCCUCAUUAAUACUUCAGUAUUCAUCUGAAGACAGAAGGAAAGUAACAGACCACAGUUGCCUGUGUUUUCUUUCCUCUUCCAAACCACUUCUGCUCCAAAGACCAUGAACCUGAACUGAAGAAACGACUCUUUCCUGCUGGCGUGAGAUAAUUCAGUCUCCAUGAUGUCUUAAUCCUGGGCCUCCCUUAAUUGACUUCUAACUGUGCUGAACUGUGGCUGCUAGGAGUUGCAAUGUGGAUCGCAAUUUACAAGGCACUGGAAUCGUUUCUCGUCCUCAAAUUAGUCCUGAGUUGUACUGGAGAAAGAUUAAAAAAAAAAAAAAUGAAGGUUUACCUUGCUGGCUGUCUUGCCAUCUCAAGUGAGACUGCUUUAGCAUCUCAGAAUGGAUAGUUGCCUUUUAACAACUUAGUUAGGGACAAAAAGGAAAGAGCAUUAGGGCUGCCAAUACCUUGUCAAUUUUGUCUUAAUAGAGUUGCCUCACGUGGCUUAUCUUGUCCAGGGGGACUGAAGAGCUCCUAAUAUUCUAAGAUAUUCAUGAGGGAGUGAUGAUUAUUUUUAAGCUCUGUUCUGUGGGGAUCCAAUAUAAGGAUCACCUUUUCCUUUCCCAUGAAUGUCAUUGGGAUACAUUUAUUAAUUAAGAAGUGUCCUAGAUCUUCACACAGGGGUUGGAGAGGUAGGGGGAAGAAAUUUAUUUUUCCUAUGGCCCCUUAUGGCCAUUUAACAUUUAUUUCUACCUAUCCUACCUAGGUUCUUCCUUUCCUCCUUGGGACCCCCAGCUUGGAAAGUCAUGAUAUAUGUACAUAUAUACACCAGUGAGUAUAGAUGCUCUGUUAACUCUUGGGAUAAAUAAGAUAUGCUAGAGUCUUCAAAGAAUUCACAGCCCAAGGGGGAGAUAGGUUCAUAAAUGAUAGUGAUAUAAUUUUAACGGAUACACAGAGAGUGAAGAGUGUUUAUGGGAGCAGAGAGGAAGGACACCUCUCAUUGGGGCUGAAGGAGUAAAGGGUGGUUUUCUGGAAGAGAGGACAAAGGAAUCAGCUCUUAAGGAUGAGUUGGAAUCAGUUCCAUGUGACACUGGAAUGAAGUUGGGGCAUUUGGGGGUAGUUGAUCAUGCCAGGAGGUAGGUAUGAGUGGUCCUCUAUGCAAUGGCAGUGGGCUUGAACUUCAAGUAGAGGAUAGGGAGGCUCUUAAGCAGGGAGUGAAACUGGUCAGAUUUGUGCCUUCUGUAUGUCAUUUAGGCAGCUAGGCACAGGAUGAAUUUGAGCAUAGCAAAACUAAAGCUGGAGGUCAGACAGGAGGCUAUUCCAGUGGUCUGGAAGAAAGUCCUGAAUUACGGUGGUGAUAGCAAGAUGGUGAGGGGUUAGAGUUGAGAGAUAGCUCAUAGAUUAAACUGGAAGGAGUUGGGCUAAGUUCAUAGAAGGUGACUCAGAGGUUCAUUAAUUCUUCAGAAUGGUCACAGAAACUACUGAGGGUUAUGGGUGGGCAUUCGAGUAUGAAAUCAAGUGUCAUAAGAAUUCUAUGAAGUCUGGUCCUUCUCAUUCUCAGGAUCCUUUAGACAUUGUGGGAUAACUGUGAUGGAGAACUGAGGAUGACUGGGGCUGGGACGAUUGGGACCUGACUAGUUUUCAGUUAAGCCUAGGAUUUGCAUUUCUCAAUGUUUCCCGACUGAGAGCACUAUCUUUUGUCAUGGGAAUGCCCUUUAGCUCCUCGAAUGAUUCCUCAGAGCUUUUAGGAGAAAACCAGCAUCCUGGGCUUAGUACUCAAGAUCCUGUAAUGGUCUGUCCCCAUCUUCUUUCUCCUCUCAUACCACUUUCCAGAGGGGCAUUCUUUCUCUGUGCCUUGCCAUUCUGGCCAUUUAAUAAUCAUGGACCUUUGCAAAUGUUGUUCCUUCUUCUGAGGUUUUGUCCCACAGUUUUGCAUCCCAGUAUCUUUUACUCACCUUCAAAAAGUGUCCUGGAGAUCUUACUAGACAGUAAGGUAGACUUGAAGGGAAAGAACAGCAUUUAUGUGUACAUAAAUGUAUAUUUAUUUUUAGUGGUUAGCUCAGUGCUUAGCAAAGAGUUUUGAAUGAAUAUGUGUAGGUAUUUCUCUUGUCCUAUUAUCAGGCUCAGAUUGUCAGCAAUUUUUAAGUUAUAACAAUCGCUUAAAAUACCCAGCAAUAAAACA